Cyanistes caeruleus (blue tit) is the source of this 388-nucleotide non-coding RNA. Lineage: Eukaryota; Metazoa; Chordata; Aves; Passeriformes; Paridae. The record is from RefSeq and is a predicted model, not a curated record.
AUCCCCUCCCUCCGCUCCUCGCCCGCGGCUGCCGCCCGGCCCCGACCACAGAGGGGACACCGAGCGAGUUUCCUGCGCGCUGCUGCCCUCGUUAUACCCGUAACCUGCCUCCCAGGGAGAGGGCCUUCUCAUUGUUAUUCCACAUUUUUUUUUUUAAACAGCUAUUUAUUUCUUUUCCUUGCCUAAACUUUGCGAUGACGUCGUGCCGUGUCAAAAGCGAUGAUUAAAGGAUGCUGUCCUACCUGCUAACUCCAAGUACUCGAGAGCUCAGGACUGGCACUGACAGUGGAACUGCUCACAGAUCCCAGACAUGGAUUUGCAAAACCACACAGCAGAAAUCAGAGCUGUAAAUAAAUUUGUUUAACCUGCAGAGGUGCAUAUACACGCA